CCUACGGGAGGCUGCAGUGAGGAAUAUUGGUCUAUGGGCGCGAGCCUGAACCAGCCAAGUCGCGUGAGGGAAGACGGUCCUAUGGAUUGUAAACCUCUUUUGUCGGGGAGCAAAAGACGCCACGCGUGGCGUUCCGAGAGUACCCGAAGAAAAAGCAUCGGCUAACUCCGUGCCAGCAGCCGCGUUAAUACGGAGGAUGCGAGCGUUAGCCGGAUUUAUUGGGGUUAAAGGGUGCGCAGGCGGAAUAGCAAGUCAGCGGUAAAAUUGAGAGGCUCAACCCCUUCGAGACGUUGAAACUGGUUGUAUUGCGUGAGCGAGAAGUAUGCGGAAUGCGUGGUGUAGCGGUGAAAUGCAUAGAUAUCACGCAGAACUCCGAUUGCGAAGGCAGCAGACCGGCGCUCAACUGACGCUCAUGCACGAAAGUGUGGGUAUCGAACAGGAUUAGAUACCCCAGUAGUC
This 459-nucleotide ribosomal RNA is filed under the name uncultured bacterium. RNAcentral describes it as "partial 16S ribosomal RNA". It matches the Rfam family "Bacterial small subunit ribosomal RNA", at positions 338 to 795 of the family's 1533-position model. The record is from RNAcentral.